This 161-nucleotide unclassified non-coding RNA is filed under the name uncultured Idriella. RNAcentral describes it as "sequence contains ITS1". The record is from RNAcentral. Lineage: Eukaryota; Fungi; Ascomycota; Sordariomycetes.
UAGAGUUUUCUAAACUCCCAACCCUAUGUGAACUUACCUAUGUUGCCUCGGCGGGGCCUACCCGGUAUCCUCCUUUGGGGGGUCGUACCCUGUAGCCCGCCGGUGGAUUUUCAAACUCUUGUUAUUUUAGUGAUAUCUGAGCGUCUUAUUUUAAUAAGUCA